UACGUAGGGUGCGAGCGUUGUCCGGAAUUAUUGGGCGUAAAGGGCUCGUAGGCGGUUUGUCGCGUCGGGAGUGAAAAUCCAGGGCUUAACUCUGGACUGGCUUCCGAUACGGGCAGACUAGAGGUAUGCAGGGGAGAACGGAAUUCCGGGUGUAGUGGUGAAAUGCGUAGAGAUCCGGAGGAACACCAGUGGCGAAGGCGACACGCUGGGCCGUACCUGACGCUAAAGCGCGACAGCAUGGGGAGCAAACGGG
Molecule: ribosomal RNA, 253 nt
Filed under: uncultured bacterium
Lineage: Bacteria
Description: partial 16S ribosomal RNA
Rfam family: Bacterial small subunit ribosomal RNA
Source: RNAcentral